Molecule: ribosomal RNA, 497 nt
Filed under: uncultured bacterium
Lineage: Bacteria
Description: partial 16S ribosomal RNA
Rfam family: Bacterial small subunit ribosomal RNA
Source: RNAcentral
GAUGAACGCUGGCGGCGUGCCUAAUACAUGCAAGUCGAGCGAACGGACGAGAAGCUUGCUUCUCUGAUGUUAGCGGCGGACGGGUGAGUAACACGUGGAUAACCUACCUAUAAGACUGGGAUAACUUCGGGAAACCGGAGCUAAUACCGGAUGAUAUUUUGAACCGCAUGGUUCAAAAGUGAAAGACGGCCUUGCUGUCACUUAUAGAUGGAUCCGCGCUGCAUUAGCUAGUUGGUAAGGUAACGGCUUACCAAGGCAACGAUGCAUAGCCGACCUGAGAGGGUGAUCGGCCACACUGGAACUGAGACUCGGUCCAGACUCCUACGGGAGGCAGCAGUAGGGAAUCUUCCGCAAUGGGCGAAAGCCUGACGGAGCAACGCCGCGUGAGUGAUGAAGGUCUUCGGAUCGUAAAACUCUGUUAUUAGGGAAGAACAUAUGUGUAAGUAACUGUGCACAUCUUGACGGUACCUAAUCAGAAAGCCACGGCUAACUACGUG